UACGGGAGGCAGCAGUGAGGAAUAUUGGACAAUGGGUGAGAGCCUGAUCCAGCCAUCCCGCGUGAAGGAUUAAGGUCCUAUGGAUUGUAAACUUCUUUUGUAUAGGGAUAAACCUACUCUCGUGAGAGUAGCUGAAGGUACUAUACGAAUAAGCACCGGCUAACUCCGUGCCAGCAGCCGCGGU
Molecule: ribosomal RNA, 184 nt
Filed under: uncultured bacterium
Lineage: Bacteria
Description: partial 16S ribosomal RNA
Rfam family: Bacterial small subunit ribosomal RNA
Source: RNAcentral